RNAcentral lists this transfer RNA (69 nucleotides) under Schistocephalus solidus. It matches the Rfam family "tRNA". Rfam says of the family: Transfer RNA (tRNA) molecules are approximately 80 nucleotides in length. The record is from Rfam by way of RNAcentral. Lineage: Eukaryota; Metazoa; Platyhelminthes; Cestoda; Diphyllobothriidea; Diphyllobothriidae.
GAGCCUGUGGCUCAAUAGUAGAGCGAUCGACUCAAUAACCAUAUGUCUUGGGUUCGAAUCCCAGGUUUU